Molecule: long non-coding RNA, 225 nt
Filed under: Lathyrus oleraceus (garden pea)
Lineage: Eukaryota; Viridiplantae; Streptophyta; Magnoliopsida; Fabales; Fabaceae
Description: Pisum sativum (pea) long non-coding RNA (PSAT_LNC019996)
Source: RNAcentral
UCUCUUCAUAAAUGGUAAAUAGUGAUGAUUCCCAUAAAUCAUUUACCACAAAAUAUUAUUUUGGACUCUAAGGCCACUCAACAUCAAAACCAACAUAUCCAAAUGACAAGAUAAAAGAGAGCACACCAAUAUCUCUCAACAUCAAAACAAAUACAAAUAAUCCCAUAAAUCCAAGUGUUACAUGACCAGAGCAAUAUAGACUACCUAGUCAAAACACAACAAGAA